This 407-nucleotide ribosomal RNA is filed under the name uncultured bacterium. RNAcentral's name for it is "bacterial SSU rRNA". It matches the Rfam family "Bacterial small subunit ribosomal RNA", at positions 355 to 776 of the family's 1533-position model. The record is from RNAcentral.
UGGGGAAUUUUCCGCAAUGGGCGAAAGCCUGACGGAGCAACGCCGCGUGGGUGAUGAAGAUUUUCGGAUCGUAAAGCCCUUUCAGCAGGGACGAAGCGAGUGACGGUACCUGCAGAAGAAGCAUCGGCUAACUACGUGCCAGCAGCCGCGGUAAUACGUAGGAUGCAAGCGUUGUCCGGAAUUAUUGGGCGUAAAGCGAACGUAGGCGGUUACUUAAGUUUGGUCUUAAAGACCGGGGCUCAACUCCGGGAAUGGACUGAAUACUGGGUGACUAGAGGAUGUCAGAGGAAAGUGGAAUUCCAAGUGUAGCGGUGAAAUGCGUAGAUAUUUGGAGGAACACCAGUGGCGAAAGCGGCUUUCUGGGACAUUCCUGACGCUGAGGUUCGAAAGCUCGGGGAGCAAACAGG